UGGGGAAUUUUGGACAAUGGGCGAAAGCCUGAUCCAGCAAUGCCGCGUGUGUGAAGAAGGCCUUCGGGUUGUAAAGCACUUUUGUCCGGAAAGAAAUCCUUGGCUCUAAUACAGUCGGGGGAUGACGGUACCGGAAGAAUAAGCACCGGCUAACUACGUGCCAGCAGCCGCGGUAAUACGUAGGGUGCAAGCGUUAAUCGGAAUUACUGGGCGUAAAGCGUGCGCAGGCGGUUUGCUAAGACCGAUGUGAAAUCCCCGGGCUCAACCUGGGAACUGCAUUGGUGACUGGCAGGCUAGAGUAUGGCAGAGGGGGGUAGAAUUCCACGUGUAGCAGUGAAAUGCGUAGAGGUGUGGAGGAAUACCGAUGGCGAAGGCAGCCCCCGUGGGCCAAUACUGACGCUCAUGCACGAAAGCGUGGGGAGCAAACAGGAUUAGAUACCCUGGUAGUCCACGCCCUAAACGAUGUCAACUAGUUGUUGGGGAUUCAUUUCCUUAGUAACGUAGCUAACGCGUGAAGUUGACCGCCUGGGGAGUACGGUCGCAAGAUUAAAACUCAAAUGAAUUGACGGGGUCAUAGCUGUUUCCU
RNAcentral lists this ribosomal RNA (586 nucleotides) under uncultured bacterium. RNAcentral describes it as "partial 16S ribosomal RNA". It matches the Rfam family "Bacterial small subunit ribosomal RNA", at positions 355 to 1375 of the family's 1533-position model. The record is from RNAcentral.